This 984-nucleotide ribosomal RNA is filed under the name Helotiales sp. RNAcentral's name for it is "SSU rRNA". It matches the Rfam family "Eukaryotic small subunit ribosomal RNA", at positions 60 to 1054 of the family's 1831-position model. The record is from RNAcentral. Lineage: Eukaryota; Fungi; Ascomycota; Leotiomycetes; Helotiales.
CUAGUAUAGCAUUAUACUGCGAAACUGCGAAUGGCUCAUUAAAUCAGUUAUUGUUCCUUUGGCAGUCCCUUUUUACUUGGGUAACUGUGGCAAUUCUAGAGCUAAUACAUGCCAAAAGCCCCGACUUCGGUUGUGGGUGGACUUGUUAGAUAAAGAAUCAAUGCCCUUCGGGGCUAGUGGGUGAAUCAUGACAAUUACGCGGAUCGCAUGGCCUUGUGCCGGCGAUACCCCAUUCAAAUUUCUGCCCUAUCAACUUUAGAUGGUAGCGUCUUGGGCUACUAUGGUUUCGACGGGUAACGGGGAAUUAGGGUUCUAUUCCGGAGAGGGAGCCUGAGAAACGGCUACCACAUCCAAGGAGGGCAGCAGGCGCGCAAAUUACCCAAUCCCGACUCGGGGAGGUAGUGACAAUAAAUACUGAUACAGGGCUCUUUUGGGUCUUGUAAUUGGAAUGAGUACAAUUUAAAUCUCUUAACGAGGAACAAUUGGAGGGCAAGUCUGGUGCCAGCAGCCGCGGUAAUUCCAGCUCCAAUAGCGUAUAUUAAAGUUGUUGCAGUUAAAAAGCUCGUAGUUGAACCUUGGGCCUGGCUGGUCGGUCCGCCUCACCGCGUGUAUUGAUCCGGCCGGGUCCUUCCUUCUGGGGAACCGCAUGCCCUUCACUGGGUGUGUCGGGGAACUAGGACGUUUACUUUGAAAAAAUUAGAGUGUUCAAAGCAGGCCUAUGCUCGAAUACAUUAGCAUGGAAUAAUGAAAUAGGACGUGUGGUUCUAUUUUGUUGGUUUCUAGGACCGCCGUAAUGAUUAAUAGGGACAGUCGGGGGCAUCAGUAUUCAAUCGUUAGAGGUGAAAUUCUUGGAUCGAUUGAAGACUAACUACUGCGAAAGCAUUUGCCAAGGAUGUUUUCAUUAAUCAGUGAACGAAAGUUAGGGGAUCGAAGACGAUCAGAUACCGUCGUAGUCUUAACCAUAAACUAUGCCGACUAGGGAUC